AUAUAUGUAAAUGUCCAGACUUAAUUGACGAGUGUAUGCUAUUAUAAACACGGAGGAAAGCAGUCUACACAGUAAUAAUGUUUAGACAUCCGCGUAGAAAAAAUAUAAAUUUAACCAGAGGGUUGGAUCCACAAGCAAGACUGGAGAGUGAGAUACUUAGGGCAUGAUGUUUUGGGUCAGAGCUGUUUUAUGGUGCCGGAAGGAGAUAUUUGCCUUGUAUGGCAACCCCUAUGCUUCACUGUUGAGAAAUUUUGU
Molecule: non-coding RNA, 255 nt
Organism: Prunus avium (sweet cherry)
Lineage: Eukaryota; Viridiplantae; Streptophyta; Magnoliopsida; Rosales; Rosaceae
Source: RefSeq, a predicted model, not a curated record